GGAAGUCAGAGGACGCCGAGGGGCGGAGGCGGGAGAGGCGAGCUCGCGAUGAGUGGUCUCGGCAGGCUCUUCGGGAAGGGGAAGAAGGAGAAAGGGCCAACCCCUGAAGAAGCAAUACAGAAACUGAAGGAGACAGAGAAGAUACUGAUCAAGAAACAGGAAUUUUUGGAGCAGAAGAUUCAACAGGAGCUACAAACAGCCAAGAAGUAUGGGACCAAGAAUAAGAGAGCUGCCCUACAGGCUUUGCGGAGGAAGAAAAGAUUCGAACAGCAGCUGGCACAAACUGAUGGGACAUUAUCCACCCUGGAGUUUCAGCGUGAGGCCAUUGAGAAUGCCACUACCAAUGCAGAAGUCCUUCGUACCAUGGAGCUUGCUGCCCAAAGCAUGAAGAAGGCCUACCAGGACAUGUGGGUACGGGGGAGGGGUGGAGGGGACCCAGGCACUGGGAAGAGUGGCUUGCUAUCACAUUUUAAACUUUAAAGCCUCUCAGAAUGUGGAUUUGCAGUAUAGAUACUUGUGAUGGCUAGACAUCCAUCUGCCCCUUGCUUCCUAUAAGAUUCUUUUGCUGC
RNAcentral lists this small RNA (569 nucleotides) under Pongo abelii (Sumatran orangutan). Its description in RNAcentral is "retained intron". The record is from RNAcentral. Lineage: Eukaryota; Metazoa; Chordata; Mammalia; Primates; Hominidae.